CUCUAUAUAUUAUUCAAAGAGAAAAUAAAUUUUUAUGAAUAUUUAGUGCAUUACUUUUUAGUAUAUUGAUGUAACUAAGAAUUUGCCAUAUUCUAAUCAAGCAUUAGAAUGCUAAAAUUGCAAAAUACAAAUUUAAUUAGUUACCCAAAAUAUCUAGUGACGUGAUUUUCGCUAUGGAAGUGCAUUUUCCAACAAGAAGAUGAAGCAAGGGGAAGUCAUGUCCCCAGGAAGGGGACCAAGCUGAGCAUCGUGAUCCAUGAAUAUUUGCAGGGGAAAUGGUUCUCCCUGGCUUAGAAAAUAGUUGAAGAGACCGUCAAAUCGAGUAUACAGAGGGUUCCAGUCAUGUUGAAGGGGAACAAGGAAUUAGAGAAGUACUAUAAACCAAGGCUGGUUGCAAUCUAUGAAGCACGGAAACGGCACUGAGUCACGUUUCCUAGUGUUGG
RNAcentral lists this unclassified non-coding RNA (443 nucleotides) under Hevea brasiliensis (rubber tree). The record is from RNAcentral. Lineage: Eukaryota; Viridiplantae; Streptophyta; Magnoliopsida; Malpighiales; Euphorbiaceae.